RNAcentral lists this ribosomal RNA (430 nucleotides) under uncultured bacterium. RNAcentral describes it as "bacterial SSU rRNA". It matches the Rfam family "Bacterial small subunit ribosomal RNA", at positions 355 to 776 of the family's 1533-position model. The record is from RNAcentral.
UGAGGAAUAUUGCGCAAUGGAGGAAACUCUGACGCAGCAACGCCGCGUGGGUGAAGAAGGCUUUCGGGUUGUAAAGCCCUGUCAGGCGGGAAGAAACUUCCGCAGGUGAAUAGUCUGUGGAACUGACGGUACCGCCAAAGGAAGCACCGGCUAACUCCGUGCCAGCAGCCGCGGUAAGACGGAGGGUGCAAGCGUUGUUCGGAAUUACUGGGCGUAAAGCGCGUGUAGGCGGUUCGAUAAGUCGAGUGUGAAAGCCCGAGGCCCAACCUCGGAAGUGCAUUCGAAACUGUCGGGCUUGAGUACGGGAGAGGGAAGUGGAAUUCCUGGUGUAGAGGUGAAAUUCGUAGAUAUCAGGAGGAACACCGGUGGCGAAGGCGGCUUCCUGGACCGAUACUGACGCUGAGACGCGAAAGCGUGGGGAGCAAACAGG